RNAcentral lists this ribosomal RNA (433 nucleotides) under uncultured bacterium. RNAcentral's name for it is "partial 16S ribosomal RNA". It matches the Rfam family "Bacterial small subunit ribosomal RNA", at positions 29 to 507 of the family's 1533-position model. The record is from RNAcentral.
AACGAACGCUGGCGGCAUGCUUAACACAUGCCAGUCGAACGGGACCUUCGGGCCUUGGGGCGCUGCUCUGCGUACGGCCGGGUGACUUACCCGUAGGUUCGGUAUCCCUCCCCUUAAGGGGUCUUAAUACCGGUUAAUGUCUUCGGACCAAGGAUUUCUCGCCUUUGGAUGGGCCCGCGUUGGUUUCGCUGGUUGGUAGGGUACAAGCCUACCAUGGCGUCGUUGCAUGGCUGGUCUGAGAGGAUGGGCAGCCACACUGGGACUGCGACACGGCCCAGAGUCCGACGGGAGGCAGCAGUGGGGAAUAUUGGACGAGGGGCGAAGACCUGAUCCAGCAGUGCCGGGGGAGUGAUGAAGGCCGUAGGGUUGUAAAGCUCUUUUACCCGGGAUGAUAAUGACAGUAACGGGAGAAUAAGCUCCGGCUAACUCCGUG